CCACAUUUUCCCAAUCCAGUCUAUCAUCAAUGGGCAUUUGGGUUGGUUCCAGGUCUUUGCUAUUGUAAACAGUGCUGCAAUGAACAUUCGUAUGCAUGUGUCCUUAUAGUAGAACAAUUUAUAGUCCUUUGGAUAUAUACCCAGUAAUGGGAUUGCUGGGUCAAAUGGAAUUUCUAUUUCUAAGGCCUUGAGAAAUCGCCACACUGACUUCCACAAUGGUUGAACUAAUUUACACUCCCACCAGCAGUGUAAAAGUGUUCCUUUUUCUCCACAUCCUCUCCAGCAUCUGUUGUCUCCAGAUUUUUUUAAUGAUCACAGAUGAACAGUCUUAGCUAGUGGGAUGUGAGCAGAAGUGAUAGAUGCUACUUCUUGUCUGAGACGAUUGUGAGCUGGUGUAAUUCUCCAUGUUCUCUCCCAGAGAGUUUUACAAUGAAAUGUAAUGAAAAUAGGUUGGUUCUCUGAGUCACUGCUGGAAGAAGAGUAAUAGGGAGAGCUGCCUCACUUGCCUCGAAUUGUGAUAUGAGCAAGAAAUAAAUCAGCAUUGUGUUAAACAAUGGAGAUUUCAGGAUCUAUUUGUUAUUAUAGCAGAACCUAACUUAUACUGACUAAUAAAUACUUCCUUGGUGGGUUUAUUCUUAUGAACAUGUCUAAAAGAAAAUAUAACUAACAAACUAACACCUGAGUUUCUCAAACGUGUGAAUGUAUGAAGCCCUUUCAAGAGAAAUAAAAUGUCUCUUGGGACACUUAAUUUAGUAUAUUUUUAAGGUAAUUAUAUAUGUGAAACUUGGUAAAAAUUAUAUACUUAUAGCUUUUAUAUAACGCUAACACCAAAUUAAAAAACAUAGAAAAACAAAAUUAAUGCAAUUUGUGAUUGAUAAUAGUUUGUUGAAAUAAAUAUAUUGUGUGCAUUUUGUUUAGUAGUUGAAAAAUACAAUGUCAAAUUCAAUUCUAUGUUCAGUUUAUUUCUGUAUUUUGACUUUAGUGACUGUAAGCAGAAAAAGCCUGGUUGCACAAGAAUGCUGUAGAUAGAAAAUGGCUUAGAAAACUUCAGGCCUUUGUUCAUUAGUUCAAGAUAAUAGGACCUUUCUUUUACCUCAAAUCCUGCCUUGGAGCAAUCCUCAAGUGUCCAUUUCAAUGAGAUGUCUCCUAAUCACUCUCUCAGCUGUCUCAUUCAUUGGAGAGAAAAGUUAGCACUGCAUUAUUAGUUAAACCAGCAUGAAGUGUGUCUCUAAUCCAAUUAUUGCUUAAAUUAGGGCAGAGAAAGUGUUUGUUGUUCAUUUGUUACCAUGCCUAGUGCUGAUCAGCAUUUCUAAGUGGUUCACAGGAAGUCAAGAUUCACCUAGUGAAUCUGCUUGCAAUGGAUUCCAGAAUAAGGCUUUUCUGAAUUAGGCAUGCUCAGUAACCCAUCACCUUCCUGGUAAAACAGGAAAAUCGCAAAAUUCUUAUAAAUAACUAUUUUGGAUCCUUGAGAAUAUGGCCACAGAACUAAGAGUUUACGGACUUCUCAUUGAUAUAAGUUGAGUUUGAGUUUUGGAGUCCAAAAAGUUUGGCCUUUCAGAGUCAGACAAAACUGAAUUCAAAUCUUAAGUCAGCCAUGUAAUCUUGGGCAAGUUACUUCUCCUAAGGCCCUGUGUAUUUGCUAUAAUGUAGACAUACUAAUACCUAUUAUGUAAUAUCAUGAUGAUUAAAUGAGAUACACACAUUCAGCACAUGGCAUAUGGAGUCAUUCAAUAAAUGGAAGCUGUGAUUACUACACCCACUAGUUAAUUAGUUUGGUUAAUUUUCUUCUAAGUAUCUGGGUGGAUCAAUCUGCUCUUCUCCAUUUUGUUUUCAUCCGCUAAUAUCCCAAGGUGGUUCUCGAGGCUUGAAGAAAAAAUGGUAUCUAUCUGCACAGUGUUGACCUUAAAGAUGAUCCUGCUUAUGUCCCAGUGGUAUAAUCUCCUGGC
Molecule: long non-coding RNA, 1946 nt
Filed under: Callithrix jacchus (white-tufted-ear marmoset)
Lineage: Eukaryota; Metazoa; Chordata; Mammalia; Primates; Cebidae
Description: lncRNA (ENSCJAG00000077240.1)
Source: RNAcentral